UACAGAGGGUGCGAGCGUUAAUCGGAAUUACUGGGCGUAAAGCGUGCGUAGACGGUUAUGUAAGUUAGGUGUGAAAGCCCCCGGGCUCAACCUGGGAAUUGCAUUUAAGACUGCAUAGCUAGGGUGCGGAAGAGGGAAGCGGAAUUUCCGGUGUAGCGGUGAAAUGCGUAGAUAUCGGAAGGAACAUCAGUGGCGAAAGCGGCUUCCUGGUCCAGCACCGACGUUCAGGCACGAAAGCGUGGGGAGCAAACAGG
Molecule: ribosomal RNA, 254 nt
Filed under: uncultured bacterium
Lineage: Bacteria
Description: partial 16S ribosomal RNA
Rfam family: Bacterial small subunit ribosomal RNA
Source: RNAcentral